CUAAAGUAGUAUUAGUUAUGUUCUUGAAACUUAAAAAAUUUGGCGGUAUUUUAGUCUAUUCAGAGGAACCUGUUCUGUAAUCGAUAAUCCACGUUGGACCUUACUUAAAUUUGUUUUUCAAUUUAUAUACCGUCGUUAUAAGAAUAUUUUAUUAGAAUAAUAAUUUUCUAUAAUUUUUAUUAAAAUUUAUAUCAGAUCAAGGUGUAGUUUAUGUUUAAGUAGAGAUGGGUUACAAUAAAAUUAUUUAUAUGAAUUAAUUAUUGAAAUAUAAUUAUGAAGGUGGAUUUGAAUGUAAAAUUAUAAAGAUAAAUAAUUUGAUUUUAGCUCUAAAAUAUGUACACAUCGCCCGUCACUCUUAUUAUUAAGGUAAGAUAAGUCGUAACAUAGUAGAUGUACUGGAAAGUGUAUCUAGAAUGCAAUUUAAAGCUUAAAUAGUAAAGCAUUUCAUUUACAUUGAAAAGAUUUUUGUGCAAUUCAAUAUAGAUUGAAUAAUUUUUAUUUAUUAAUAAAUUUAUUUAUAAUUUUUUAUAUAUUAGAAAUAACUAUAAAAAUAAUGUUUUAGUAUUGUUUAAAGAAUAAAUAAUAUUUAUGAUAGUAUAAUAGUAUUGUGAAAGAAAAUUGAAAUAGUUUGAAAAA
Molecule: ribosomal RNA, 636 nt
Filed under: Parapalaeosepsis apicalis
Lineage: Eukaryota; Metazoa; Arthropoda; Insecta; Diptera; Sepsidae
Description: partial 12S ribosomal RNA
Rfam family: tRNA (bases 417-488)
Source: RNAcentral